GAUGAACGCUGGCGGCGUGCUUAACACAUGCAAGUCGAACGGGAUCCAUCAAGCUUGCUUGGUGGUGAGAGUGGCGAACGGGUGAGUAAUGCGUGACCGACCUGCCCCAUACACCGGAAUAGCUCCUGGAAACGGGUGGUAAUGCCGGAUGCUCCGGCCUGCCGCAUGGUGGGCUGGGAAAGAUUGUAUCGGUAUGGGAUGGGGUCGCGUCCUAUCAGGUAGUCGGCGGGGUAACGGCCCACCGAGCCUACGACGGGUAGCCGGCCUGAGAGGGCGACCGGCCACAUUGGGACUGAGAUACGGCCCAGACUCCUACGGGAGGCAGCAGUGGGGAAUAUUGCACAAUGGGCGCAAGCCUGAUGCAGCGACGCCGCGUGCGGGAUGACGGCCUUCGGGUUGUAAACCGCUUUUGAUCGGGAGCAAGCCUUCGGGUGAGUGUACCUUUCGAAUAAGCACCGGCUAACUACGUGCCAGCAGCCGCAGUAA
This 486-nucleotide ribosomal RNA is filed under the name uncultured bacterium. RNAcentral's name for it is "partial 16S ribosomal RNA". It matches the Rfam family "Bacterial small subunit ribosomal RNA", at positions 28 to 523 of the family's 1533-position model. The record is from RNAcentral.